Molecule: ribosomal RNA, 439 nt
Filed under: uncultured Sphingomonadaceae bacterium
Lineage: Bacteria; Pseudomonadati; Pseudomonadota; Alphaproteobacteria; Sphingomonadales; Sphingomonadaceae
Description: partial 16S ribosomal RNA
Rfam family: Bacterial small subunit ribosomal RNA
Source: RNAcentral
CCUACGGGAGGCAGCAGUGGGGAAUAUUGGACAAUGGGCGAAAGCCUGAUCCAGCAAUGCCGCGUGAGUGAUGAAGGCCUUAGGGUUGUAAAGCUCUUUUACCCGGGAUGAUAAUGACAGUACCGGGAGAAUAAGCUCCGGCUAACUCCGUGCCAGCAGCCGCGGUAAUACGGAGGGAGCUAGCGUUAUUCGGAAUUACUGGGCGUAAAGCGCACGUAGGCGGCUUUGUAAGUUAGAGGUGAAAGCCUGGAGCUCAACUCCAGAAUUGCCUUUAAGACUGCAUCGCUUGAAUCCAGGAGAGGUGAGUGAAAUUCCGAGUGUAGAGGUAAAAUUCGUAGAUAUUCGGAAGAACACCAGUGGCGAAGGCGGCUCACUGGACUGGUAUUGACGCUGAGGUGCGAAAGCGUGGGGAGCAAACAGGAUUAGAUACCCCUGUAGU